This 253-nucleotide ribosomal RNA is filed under the name uncultured bacterium. RNAcentral describes it as "partial 16S ribosomal RNA". It matches the Rfam family "Bacterial small subunit ribosomal RNA", at positions 524 to 776 of the family's 1533-position model. The record is from RNAcentral.
UACAGAGGUCCCAAGCGUUGUUCGGAUUCACUGGGCGUAAAGGGUGCGUAGGCGGCCGGGUAAGUCUGACGUGAAAUCUUCAAGCUCAACUUGGAAACUGCGUCCGAUACUAUUCGGCUAGAGGAAUGGAGGGGAGACUGGAAUACUUGGUGUAGCAGUGAAAUGCGUAGAUAUCAAGUGGAACACCAGUGGCGAAGGCGAGUCUCUGGACAUUUCCUGACGCUGAGGCACGAAAGCCAGGGGAGCAAACGGG